AGGAGGAAGCGCACGCCCGCCCGCUGCCCUGCCCUGCGCCUGGGGCUCGCUAGCCCGCCGCCGGGCACCGCCGCUCCCGGAGCCCGGGCCUGGCGCCCCGGCCCCGCGGCCUUAACCCCUUCGCGCCCGCGGACGCCACGCGUCCGGGAGAGGCCGGGCCCUGGCACCUGCUGGCUGCGGGCGCGCGCGGCCACCCCGGCGCUCGAGGGCCCCGUUGGCCCGGGGACGCUGCUGAAGUCACACGCCAGACGACCGAGGCGCCGCGUGGGCCGAGAAGCCCGCGGGCUCGCCCCCUGGAGGUUGGCGACGUCCGCCCCGGCCGAGAGUGCCGCGCGGCAGCGGAGAGGGGCGUGGCGGCCGCAGGCCUCGCCGGACCCGCACAGGGUCGCGGGAGGGGGGCCGCGCUAGCAGUCUUUUGAACCUAAGUCCCGCAGCGAUUGGCCAGCCUAGAGGGAAUUGCAGCCAGUUUCACAGAGGAGGAAACUCAGGACCAGACUGGGAAGUGACUUAGACAAGGGCACGCGGCCAUACUUGGCUCCAGGCGCUUCUCCUGGCGCCCGCUCUUUCCACGUCGCCACGAGGUCUCCACGGAACCCCAUGUUGUAAAAGCUGUCUUCUCGAGGUUGGACGAACCCUGCCCUAGGACAAAAUCCUGCCGGGGCCCCCUGGAGGUGGGAAGAUGAGUGUUUUCUGCCAUCAUCAGACAUGGGGACCCAAGGUCAAGGAUUUCAAGGAUCACCUCUGCGAAGAUGCUUGCUGAGGUGACCACCAGAGGAGCCUCUCCCUGCAGGUGACACUCUGCCCCGAGCCUGCUGGGAAGGGCACAGAGCCCACCGGAAAAAUGACUCCUGAGCCAAAGAACACACAUCGGUCCCCACACUGAGUUGAAAACCUACAUCGACACAAACACCCACACGAGGUGUUUAUAGCGGUAAACAGCCUCGUUCGUAAUUGCCCAAACUUGGAAGCAACCAAGAUGUCCUUCAGCAGGGGAGUGGGUAACCCUCAACAGUACAUCCAGACAACGGAAUAUCAUUCAGCACUAAAAAGAAAUGAGCUCUCAAGCCAGGAAAAGACACGGAGGAACCUGACGCGCAUGUCAUGAAGUGAAGGAAGUCCGUCUGAAAAGGCCACAUACGAGAAAAUGAUUGACAGCAGCCACCUGCUGGGGCAAAGUCUGUCCCUGGCCUGGGAUGGAGACUGGACAGAGCAAGGACUCAGGCUAUAUUGGCUGUUUAUCUGCUGUACAUUGGGAUUCCGAAUAAUGCCUGCCUUGUUGCGAAGCUUAAAUGAGUAGCAUCCAAGAAAAGUGCUUAGGAAGGACCCCGGCACAGAGAAGGUGCUAUUUUUAACACUAACACCCUCUUUGCUCCCACCCUUCUCACGUGUGCAGGGCACCUAGGGCAUGGGGAAGGGGCUGCUUGACUUCAGGAUGCAAAGUGCAAAGCUGCCUCCCCGCAGCGGUGGAGGAAAGACGGAAAGACGGGGCUGCAGGAAUUCGUUAGCACCAAUUAACACCAUGAGGCUCCCUUCUGCUUUCACCCUGGUCUGCCUCCCUGCUGGCAUGGGGCCGAGAACCACAUGGCAGAGGAAGCAGCCAGGCCCAGGGGAUGAGGGGGAUGUUGUGGAACCAUCGGCUAAGACUGGGGGCCCCCCAGCAGGUAUUAUGCCUAGCUGGGCAGGAAGGUUCCAGAAAGCAGUGAGGCAGACACAGAGCAUCAGGCAGGCCUGGUCUUGGGGCCAUAGACAAAUGCCUCUUCCAGGCAGUGACCCUUUGUAGUGCAUCUGACAUCCAGUGUGGGGGUCAUCCCUUCCCUGACACAGAGAACUUGUAGCUAUGCUCUUGCAAUGAAAGAAAUAAUAAAAAUGGCUGGAAAAGAAA
This is a long non-coding RNA of Leopardus geoffroyi (Geoffroy's cat), 1882 nucleotides long. RefSeq lists it as uncharacterized. The record is from RefSeq and is a predicted model, not a curated record. The transcript has 5 exons. NCBI's taxonomy places the organism in Eukaryota, Metazoa, Chordata, Mammalia, Carnivora, Felidae.